Molecule: ribosomal RNA, 444 nt
Filed under: uncultured bacterium
Lineage: Bacteria
Description: SSU rRNA
Rfam family: Bacterial small subunit ribosomal RNA
Source: RNAcentral
AGAACGAACGCUGGCGGCAGGCCUAACACAUGCAAGUCGAGCGCCCAGCAAUGGGAGCGGCGCACGGGUGAGUAACACGUGGGAAUAUGCCCUUUGGUUCGGAAUAACGUAGGGAAACUUGCGCUAAUACCGAAUAAGCCCUUACGGGGAAAGAUUUAUCGCCAUUGGAGUAGCCCGCGUCCGAUUAGCUUGUUGGUGAGGUAACGGCUCACCAAGGCGAUGAUCGGUAGCUGGUUUGAGAGAACGACCAGCCACACUGGGACUGAGACACGGCCCAGACUCCUACGGGAGGCAGCAGUGGGGAAUCUUGGACAAUGGGGGAAACCCUGAUCCAGCCAUGCCGCGUGAGUGAUGAAGGCCCUAGGGUUGUAAAACUCUUUCGGCGGGGACGAUAAUGACGGUACCCGCAGAAGAAGCUCCGGCUAACUUCGUGCCAGCAGCCGC